GCGGCACGCCUAACACAUGCAAGUCGAACGAAGUAGCAAUACUUAGUGGCAGACGGGUGAGUAACAUGUAGGUAUCUGCCCUUUGGCCUGGAAUAACACGAGGAAACUUGUGCUAAUACCGGAUAAGUCUUUACAGAGAAAGCUUUAUGCACCAUUGGAUGAGCCUGCACUUGAUUAGUUUGUUGGUAGGGUAAUGGCCUACCAAGACUAUGAUCAAUAGCUGAUUUGAGAGGAUGAUCAGCCACAUUGGGACUGAGACACGGCCCAAACUCCUACGGGAGGCAGCAGUGGGGAAUCUUGCACAAUGGAGGAAACUCUGAUGCAGCGAUGCCGCGUGAGUGAAGAAGGCCCUUGGGUUGUAAAGCUCUUUCGUCGGGGAAGAAAAUGACUGUACCCGAAUAAGAAGGUCCGGCUAACUUCGUGCCAGCAGCCGCGGUAAUACGAAGGGACCUAGCGUAGUUCGGAAUUACUGGGCUUAAAGAGUUCGUAGGUGGUUGAAAAAGUUAGUGGUGAAAUCCCAGAGCUUAACUCUGGAACUGCCAUUAAAACUUUUCAGCUAGAGUAUGAUAGAGGAAAGCAGAAUUUCUAGUGUAGAGGUGAAAUUCGUAGAUAUUAGAAAGAAUACCAAUUGCGAAGGCAGCUUUCUGGAUCAUUACUGACACUGAGGAACGAAAGCAUGGGUAGCGAAGAGGAUUAGAUACCCUCGUAGUCCAUGCCGUAAACGAUGUGUGUUAGACGUUGGAAAUUUAUUUUCAGUGUCGCAGGGAAACCGAUAAACACACCGCCUGGGGAGUACGACCGCAAGGUUAAAACUCAAAUGAAUUGACGGGGACCCGCACAAGUAGUGGAGCAUGUGGUUUAAUUCGAAGAUACGCGCAGAACCUUACCAACACUUGACAUGUUCGUCGCGACUCUAAGAGAUUAGAGUCUUCGGUUCGGCCGGACGAAACACAGGUGCUGCAUGGCUGUCGUCAGCUCGUGUCGUGAGAUGUUGGGUUAAGUCCCGCAACGAGCGCAACCCUCACUUUUAGUUGCCAUCAUUAAGUUGGGCACUCUGAAAGAACUGCCAGUGAUAAGCUGGAGGAAGGUGGGGAUGACGUCAAGUCCUCAUGGCCCUUACGUGUUGGGCUACACACGUGCUACAAUGGUAUCUACAACAGGAAGCAAGACUGCGAAGUUAAGCAAAUCCCUAAAAGAUACCUCAGUUCGGAUUGCACUCUGCAACUCGAGUGCAUGAAGCUGGAAUUACUAGUAAUCGUGGAUCAGCGUGCCACGGUGAAUGCGUUCCCGGGUCUUGUACACACCGCCCGUCACACCAUGGGAGUUGGUUCUACCUUAAGGCAAGGUUUUAAACCCUUGACCACGGUAUAGUCAGCGA
This 1378-nucleotide ribosomal RNA is filed under the name uncultured Pelagibacterales bacterium. RNAcentral's name for it is "bacterial SSU rRNA". It matches the Rfam family "Bacterial small subunit ribosomal RNA". The record is from RNAcentral. Lineage: Bacteria; Pseudomonadati; Pseudomonadota; Alphaproteobacteria; Candidatus Pelagibacterales.